UAUCCGGGUCAAUGUUCACUUUGUUCAGAGGGACAAAAAGAAAAUGCUUAUGUGUGAUGACCCUCAUGCCAUCAUGAAUUUCAAGGAUAGUGUCAAAGAUACUGGGCCUGUGAAGCAGCUGGCACAAUGCUUAGCAAUGUUCAGCAUGAAUCCAGAUGAAUCCAGAACCUACACAUGCAGGUUCCUAUGAUUCUCGUGUUACUUGUUGGUAUGUAGGUGUGUAUGAGGCACGCACUUAUUUGUGGAUUAGUUCCAUUUUCUGCGUGGGGAUUUUAGAUUUGCAUGCACCUUUUUUUUUUAAUGAAUAGAGUCAAUAAGUGAUAGCAUUCCAGAACUGCAUAGAACAUUUGUAUUCUUGAGCUGGUUAUUAUCUGAUGCCUUUUCUGGGGCUGGUUCCUGAGGACUAAGACAGGAGGAAUCUGCAGGCAGCACCAGCUCUGCAUCUUCCAGAGCAGCAGGUCUUAAGCCUAAAUGUAUGUUAGCAUCACUUGGGGAUUUUUUUUUUUUUCGUUUUUUCUUUUUCUUUUUUUUUUUCUUUUUUUGGCUUUUCUAGGGCCACGCCCAUGGCAUAUGGAGGUUCCCAGGCUAAGGGUCUAAUCGGAGCUGUAGCCACCAGCCUAUGCCACAGCCAUAGCAAAGCGGGAUCUAAGCCACAUCUGCGACCUACACCACAGCUCACAGUAACGCUGGAUCCUUAACCCACUGAGCGAGGCCAGGGAUCGAACCCACAACCUCAUGGUGCCUAGUCAAAUUCGUUAACCACUGAGCCACGACGGGAACUCUACUUGGGGAUUUUUUUUUUUUUUUAAGAUGCUGAAGUCUGAGCUUCCUGAGCUAAUUGGUCAAAAAAAUCAUACCAUUAAUUGUCUACCAGGGAACACUGAUAAGAAUCACCAAAGUGACAGGAAAGUAGAAAGUUCCCAAGGAGGGAAGCACCGGAAAUCAUCUUUAAAAGAUUGAAAUGAUGCACCCAAAAGGGCUUCAGCAUUUGUUUGUUAUAAUCACCCAAGGCAGGCCUUACACAGAGGCUCACAGAGCCUGGAAAUAAGCUACCCUAGAGAAGAACCAAUCGUGGCCACUUAUAAGGAUAUUCCUAAAGAGGUGAGCAAGCAGGCAAAAAAUCAAUAUGCAAUAGGAGGUGAUGACAGAUGUGACAGUGGUGGGUAAAAAUUAGGAGCCCAGAGGAGAAAGAGCCUCUCCCAAGUGAGGUAGAAGUGACAUUGGACUUGAUCCUUAAAGGAUGUGGAACUUCACCAGAUAAAGGAGCUGGAACCGGGUGAGGAGCAGGACUCUGGAAAUAGAAGCUUCUCACCCAGGAAUGUUCCCAGGUCUGUCACUUUAUGCUUCCAGAUACCAUCUGCUGCCGGUUCUGUCCUCUGCUCUGUAACUGCGGGAGUGUUAACUAAAUGAUGGUUUAACAGAGACCAGCAGAAGUCUAAGGGAAAUGUCCCAAGAGUGACAAUGCCAGUACAAGUGACCGAGGGUCACCAAAGGGCUUCUGAUGGCAACACCCACCCCCAGAAGGAGCUGCAGCUGAAGUCCAAAGUUUGGGCUCUAAAGAGAAGGGUGGGGAUGACAGGAGGAUUUUUAUAACUUGGAGGUCGUAGCGCAUCUCCUCUCUAGAGGUGGUAACAGAAAAACCCAGAGGUGCAACGACUGGCCGCACCCCGGCAUAUGGAAGUUCCCGGGCUAGGGGUCAAAUUGGAGCUGCAGGUGCCACAGCAACCCCAGAUCCAGUCCACAUCUGUGGACUAUGCCACAGCUUGUGGCAAUGCCGGGUCCUUCAUCCAUUGAGUGAGACCAGGGAUCAAACCUGCAUCCUCACAGAGACCACAUUAGGUCCUCAACCCACUGAGCCACAACAGGAACUCCUGGAUUGAGUUUCUUAUCCAGUAGUUCUUCCAAUUUUUUUUGACUUUUUAAAAAUCUUUUUUAAAUUAAAAAAAUGUUUAUUAUAGUUGAUUGACAGUGUCCUGUCAAUUUCUGCUGUACAGCAAAGUGACACCCAAGUUAUAUAUAUGUAUGUGUGUGUAUGUGUAUACAUUCUUUUUCUCAUAUCUUCCAUUAUUUUCCAUCACAAGGGAUUGGAUGUAGUUCUCUAAGCUAUACAGCAGGAUCUCAUUGCUUAUUCACUCCAAAUGCAACAGUUCGCAUCUACUAACCCCAAACUCCCAGUCCAUCCCACUCCCUCCCCCUCCUGCUUGGCAACCACAAGUCUGUUCUCUGCCCAUGAGUUUGUUUCUGUUUUGUAGAUAGGUUCAUUUGUGCCACGUUUUAGAUUCCACAUAUAAGUGAUAUCAUAUGGUAUUUGUCCUUCUCUUUCUGACUUACUUCACUUAGUAUGAGAAUCUCUAGUUCUAUCCAUGUUGCUGCAAAUGGUAUUUUCUUUUUUAUGGCUGAGUAGUAUUCCUUUGUGUAUAUAUACCACAUCUUCUUAAUCCAUUCAUCUGUCAAUGGACAUUUAGGCUGUUUCCAUGUCUUGGCUAUUGUGAAUAGUGCUGGAAUGAAUAUAGUGGUGCAUGUAUCUUUUAGAAUGAAAGUUUUUUUAUCCAGAUAUAUGCCCAGGAGUGGGAUUACUGAAACUUCUGGUAGUUCUAUAUUUAGUUCUCUGAGGAACCUCCAUACUGUUUUCCAUAAUGGUUGUACCAGUCUACAUUCCCACCAACAGAGAAGUAGGGUUCCCUUUUCUCCACACCCUCUCUAGCAUUUGUUAUUUGUAGACUUAUUAAUGAUAGCUGUUCUGACCAGUGUGAGAUGGUACCUCAUUGUAGUUUUGAUCUACAUU
Molecule: long non-coding RNA, 2785 nt
Filed under: Sus scrofa (pig)
Lineage: Eukaryota; Metazoa; Chordata; Mammalia; Artiodactyla; Suidae
Description: lncRNA (ENSSSCG00030053179.1)
Source: RNAcentral